This 2075-nucleotide ribosomal RNA is filed under the name Bacteriophage sp. Its description in RNAcentral is "bacterial LSU rRNA". It matches the Rfam family "Bacterial large subunit ribosomal RNA", at positions 14 to 2091 of the family's 2925-position model. The record is from RNAcentral.
AGGGCGCACGGUGGAUGCCUUGACACUAGGAGUCGAUGAAGGACGGGACUAACGCCGAUAUGCUUCGGGGAGCUGUAAGUAAGCUUUGAUCCGAAGAUUUCCGAAUGGGGAAACCCACCAUACGUAAUGGUAUGGUAUCCUUACCUGAAUACAUAGGGUAAGGAAGACAGACCCAGGGAACUGAAACAUCUAAGUACCUGGAGGAAGAGAAAGCAAAUGCGAUUUCCUGAGUAGCGGCGAGCGAAACGGAACAUAGCCCAAACCAAGAGGCUUGCCUCUUGGGGUUGUAGGACAUUCUAUACGGAGUUACAAAGGAACGAGGUAGACGAAGCGACCUGGAAAGGUCCGUCGUAGAGGGUAACAACCCCGUAGUCGAAACUUCGUUCUCUCUUGAAUGUAUCCUGAGUACGGCGGAACACGUGAAAUUCCGUCGGAAUCUGGGAGGACCAUCUCCCAAGGCUAAAUACUCCCUAGUGAUCGAUAGUGAACCAGUACCGUGAGGGAAAGGUGAAAAGCACCCCGGAAGGGGAGUGAAAGAGAUCCUGAAACCGUGUGCCUACAAAUAGUCAGAGCCCGUUAAUGGGUGAUGGCGUGCCUUUUGUAGAAUGAACCGGCGAGUUACGAUCCCGUGCGAGGUUAAGCUGAAGAGGCGGAGCCGCAGCGAAAGCGAGUCUGAAUAGGGCGUUUAGUACGUGGUCGUAGACCCGAAACCAGGUGAUCUACCCAUGUCCAGGGUGAAGUUCAGGUAACACUGAAUGGAGGCCCGAACCCACGCACGUUGAAAAGUGCGGGGAUGAGGUGUGGGUAGCGGAGAAAUUCCAAUCGAACCUGGAGAUAGCUGGUUCUCCCCGAAAUAGCUUUAGGGCUAGCCUUAAGUGUAAGAGUCUUGGAGGUAGAGCACUGAUUGAACUAGGGGUCCUCAUCGGAUUACCGAAUUCAGUCAAACUCCGAAUGCCAAUGACUUAUCCUUAGGAGUCAGACUGCGAGUGAUAAGAUCCGUAGUCAAGAGGGAAACAGCCCAGAUCGCCAGCUAAGGUCCCAAAGUGUGUAUUAAGUGGAAAAGGAUGUGGAGUUGCUUAGACAACUAGGAUGUUGGCUUAGAAGCAGCCACCAUUUAAAGAGUGCGUAAUAGCUCACUAGUCGAGUGACUCUGCGCCGAAAAUGUACCGGGGCUAAAUACACCACCGAAGCUGCGAAUUGAUACCAAUGGUAUCAGUGGUAGGGGAGCGUUCUAAGUGCAGUGAAGUCAGACCGGAAGGACUGGUGGAGCGCUUAGAAGUGAGAAUGCCGGUAUGAGUAGCGAAAGACGGGUGAGAAUCCCGUCCACCGAAUGCCUAAGGUUUCCUGAGGAAGGCUCGUCCGCUCAGGGUUAGUCAGGACCUAAGCCGAGGCCGACAGGCGUAGGCGAUGGACAACAGGUUGAUAUUCCUGUACCACCUCUUUAUCGUUUGAGCAAUGGAGGGACGCAGAAGGAUAGAAGAAGCGUGCGAUUGGUUGUGCACGUCCAAGCAGUUAGGCUGAUAAGUAGGCAAAUCCGCUUAUCGUGAAGGCUGAGCUGUGAUGGGGAAGCUCCUUAUGGAGCGAAGUCUUUGAUUCCCCGCUGCCAAGAAAAGCUUCUAGCGAGAUAAAAGGUGCCUGUACCGCAAACCGACACAGGUAGGCGAGGAGAGAAUCCUAAGGUGUGCGAGAGAACUCUGGUUAAGGAACUCGGCAAAAUGACCCCGUAACUUCGGGAGAAGGGGUGCUUUCUUAACGGAAAGCCGCAGUGAAUAGGCCCAAGCGACUGUUUAGCAAAAACACAGCUCUCUGCGAAGCCGUAAGGCGAAGUAUAGGGGGUGACACCUGCCCGGUGCUGGAAGGUUAAGGAGAGGGGUUAGCGUAAGCGAAGCUCUGAACUGAAGCCCCAGUAAACGGCGGCCGUAACUAUAACGGUCCUAAGGUAGCGAAAUUCCUUGUCGGGUAAGUUCCGACCCGCACGAAAGGUGUAACGAUUUGGGCACUGUCUCAACCAGAGACUCGGUGAAAUUAUAGUACCUGUGAAGAUGCAGGUUACCCGCGACAGGACGGAAAGACCC